GUGGGGAAUAUUGGACAAUGGGCGAAAGCCUGAUCCAGCCAUGCCGCGUGUGUGAAGAAGGUCUUCGGAUUGUAAAGCACUUUAAGUUGGGAGGAAGGGCAGUAAGUUAAUACCUUGCUGUUUUGACGUUACCGACAGAAUAAGCACCGGCUAACUUCGUGCUAGCAGCCGCGGUAAUACGAAGGGUGCAAGCGUUAAUCGGAAUUACUGGGCGUAAAGCGCGCGUAGGUGGUUUUGUAAGUUGGAGGUGAAAUCCCCGGGCUCAACCUGGGAACUGCCUCCAAAACUGCAUGACUAGAGUACGGUAGAGGGUAGUGGAAUUUCCUGUGUAGCGGUGAAAUGCGUAGAUAUAGGAAGGAACACCAGUGGCGAAGGCGACUACCUGGACUGAUACUGACACUGAGGUGCGAAAGCGUGGGGAGCAAACAGGAUUAGAAACCCUGGUAGUCC
This 450-nucleotide ribosomal RNA is filed under the name uncultured bacterium. Its description in RNAcentral is "partial 16S ribosomal RNA". It matches the Rfam family "Bacterial small subunit ribosomal RNA", at positions 354 to 796 of the family's 1533-position model. The record is from RNAcentral.